Molecule: ribosomal RNA, 704 nt
Filed under: Pseudomonas sp.
Lineage: Bacteria; Pseudomonadati; Pseudomonadota; Gammaproteobacteria; Pseudomonadales; Pseudomonadaceae
Description: bacterial SSU rRNA
Rfam family: Bacterial small subunit ribosomal RNA
Source: RNAcentral
UGCAAGUCGAGCGGUAGAGAGAAGCUUGCUUCUCUUGAGAGCGGCGGACGGGUGAGUAAUGCCUAGGAAUCUGCCUGGUAGUGGGGGAUAACGUUCGGAAACGGACGCUAAUACCGCAUACGUCCUACGGGAGAAAGCAGGGGACCUUCGGGCCUUGCGCUAUCAGAUGAGCCUAGGUCGGAUUAGCUAGUUGGUGAGGUAAUGGCUCACCAAGGCGACGAUCCGUAACUGGUCUGAGAGGAUGAUCAGUCACACUGGAACUGAGACACGGUCCAGACUCCUACGGGAGGCAGCAGUGGGGAAUAUUGGACAAUGGGCGAAAGCCUGAUCCAGCCAUGCCGCGUGUGUGAAGAAGGUCUUCGGAUUGUAAAGCACUUUAAGUUGGGAGGAAGGGCAGUUACCUAAUACGUGAUUGUUUUGACGUUACCGACAGAAUAAGCACCGGCUAACUCUGUGCCAGCAGCCGCGGUAAUACAGAGGGUGCAAGCGUUAAUCGGAAUUACUGGGCGUAAAGCGCGCGUAGGUGGUUUGUUAAGUUGGAUGUGAAAUCCCCGGGCUCAACCUGGGAACUGCAUUCAAAACUGACUGACUAGAGUAUGGUAGAGGGUGGUGGAAUUUCCUGUGUAGCGGUGAAAUGCGUAGAUAUAGGAAGGAACACCAGUGGCGAAGGCGACCACCUGGACUAAUACUGACACUGAGGUGCG